GGAGGCGUAGCUCAGCAGGUUCAGAGCAUCCGGCUUUUACCCGGACGACGAGGGUUCGAUUCCCUACGCCUCCA
Molecule: transfer RNA, 74 nt
Filed under: Variovorax sp. WDL1
Lineage: Bacteria; Pseudomonadati; Pseudomonadota; Betaproteobacteria; Burkholderiales; Comamonadaceae
Also listed under: 1 other name
Description: tRNA-Lys
Rfam family: tRNA
About the family: Transfer RNA (tRNA) molecules are approximately 80 nucleotides in length. Their secondary structure includes four short double-helical elements and three loops (D, anti-codon, and T loops). Further hydrogen bonds mediate the characteristic L-shaped molecular structure. tRNAs have two regions of fundamental functional importance: the anti-codon, which is responsible for specific mRNA codon recognition, and the 3' end, to which the tRNAs corresponding amino acid is attached (by aminoacyl-tRNA synthetases). tRNAs cope with the degeneracy of the genetic code in two manners: having more than one tRNA (with a specific anti-codon) for a particular amino acid; and 'wobble' base-pairing, i.e. permitting non-standard base-pairing at the 3rd anti-codon position.
Source: RNAcentral